UCGAUUACCGCUCGCACUGUAGUCGUACGAGGUAGCCUAGUAAGACUCUUCGGAGGGAAGGCAGUGGAAUGAGCGGCGGACGGGUGAGUAACACGUAAGGAACCUGCCUCAAGGAUUGGGAUAACUCCGAGAAAUCGGAGCUAAUACCGGAUAGUUCAACGGACCGCAUGUUCCGUUGAUGAAAGGCGCUUCGGCGUCACCUUGAGAUGGCCUUGCGGUCAUUAGCUAGUUGGUGGGGUAAUGGCCCACCAAGGCGACGAUGCAUAGCCGACCUGAGAGGGUGAUCGGCCACACUGGGACUGAGACACGGCCCAGACUCCUACGGGAGGCAGCAGUGCGCAAAUCUUCCACAAUGGACGAAAGUCUGAUGUGCACUGCCUGGUGAGUGAUGAAGGUCUUCUCAUCAUAAGAGUCUAUUGUAACCGAGGACCACGUAUCAGCGUUAAUGCUCGAGCAUAGACUUGACCUCACGAGCGAGCAACGGCUUAUUACGAGUCAGCAGCGGCGUUCGUGCUUAUUCGAAUUGCAUUGCAUGGUAUUAUGCUUGGGCGAGCGCGCGUAGACUGCCUUUUAGAGUCUGAUGUGAGAGCGGCCUGCUCAGCGGGGAGGUCCAUUGGGAUACUUGCAGGCCUUGAGUGCCGAGACACGACUAGCACUCAGACGUGUAGCGGUGAGACGCUGUAGAGAUGUGGAGUACAUCAGUGUUGAUGCCCGACUCUUUCGCCUGUCACCUGACGCUGACGCAGCGAAAGGGGUGGCGCAUGCCACACAUGAAUUGGCUCUCCAGUAGUCCACCACUUGUAAACGGAUGACGUGCUAGUGCUAGGCGUGUCUUUCCGUCACUCAGUGCUGCACUACGAAUUGAGGCUCCUCCCGCUGGGGCGGAGGUGCGUCUGACAAGUCUGAAAUACUCAAAGGCCCACUGACGGGAGCUUUUCGACACCGGAUUGUAUGCCGUAGUCCUUAUGUUCAUCAGCGUUUAGCGAGCCUUCACGAACU
Molecule: ribosomal RNA, 999 nt
Filed under: Exiguobacterium acetylicum
Lineage: Bacteria; Bacillati; Bacillota; Bacilli; Caryophanales
Description: bacterial SSU rRNA
Rfam family: Bacterial small subunit ribosomal RNA (bases 1-874)
Source: RNAcentral